RNAcentral lists this long non-coding RNA (4181 nucleotides) under Equus caballus (horse). Its description in RNAcentral is "lncRNA (ENSECAG00000056172.1)". The record is from RNAcentral. Lineage: Eukaryota; Metazoa; Chordata; Mammalia; Perissodactyla; Equidae.
CCUUCUGAGGACAGUGCCCCGAAGAGUUGAUUCCCCCGGCACCUCCCGCUCCCUCUCAAAGCACCGCCUGUUCUGCGGGUCUGCCCCCAGGCGGGCAUAAACACCCCCAGCGAGGAAUGGCCCCAGGCAGCACUGGAGCCCUCCGCUCCCUCCACCACCGGGUCUGUCCCAGCUAGAGGGAGGGGAGAGGGAGAGGGGGCUUCCCUCUGGCUCAGAAUCGUCCACCCUGAGUAAUUAGCUGCCAAAUAAAACGCAAACUCGCCAAAGGAGAUCAGAGGUCCCCCCACAGCUUCUCCAAACUCCUCCUGCCCCAGAGGCUGCUGGGAGGGCCAGAAACCCCAGGAGGCCAGAAAGCCACCUGCUGGGGCACAGGGUCUCUUUUCAGAUCGGAAGCUAAAACCCUCCUUUCAAGCCCUCCCCUGUCAGGCCUGCCGAGCCAGCCCACACCUUCUCUCUCAGGGCUGGCACUCUGGCCCCUCGCCCACCCGCUCCUCAGCCUAGGAAUGGAAAAUGGGUUUGGCAGACACCACUGGUCGCCUGCCGGUGUCCCUUUUCCUCUUGUCUGAUACUGUUCAGGCUGACUCUUGGUGGCCCCAUGGCCCAUGCCCCUGAUUUGUUUAGGGGGAGUGGGAAGUGCGGUCCAGCACAGCCAAGGACACAGGAAGGGAGGAGCAAGGAAGUUAGCAACAGAAGGAGAGAAGGAGAACAGAAGGCAUGCUGGGCAAAUCUUUCAGUCUCUCCCUGCCUCAACCUCCCCACCUGUAACAUGGGAAAUACAAGGUCCCUCUCCCAGAGCUGUUGGGGCUGGAACCAAACAGCCACCAUGGACCAUGAAGAGGAAGCCACUUGAAGAAGAGAGCUGGGGCUGGCCCGUGGCCGAGUGGUUAAGUUCGUGCGCUCUGCUUCGGCGGCCCAGGGUUUCGCUGGUUCGGAUCCUGGGCACGGACAUGACACCACUCAUCAGGCCACGCUGAGGCGGCGUCCCACAGAGCUCAACCAGAGGCACUCACAACUAGGGUAUACGACUAUGUACUGGGGGCUUCGGGGAGAAGAAGAAGAAGAAGAAAAAAAGAAGAUUGGCAACAGUUGUUAGCUCAGGUGCUGAUCUUUAAAAAAGAAAUAAAAAUAAACAAGAGAGCUGAGCAGCAAGAAAGAAUGAUUGACAUUGACUCUGAGAAACUUCUCUUCCACCUUCUAGGUUCUUGAUUGUUUGAGAGAGAAAUAAACUUCUGUCUUUGGGGCACUGUUUUUCUCCUCGGGGUGGUGUCUGUCACCCACAGCUGAACUUAAUCCUGGUCCCUACAGACUAGAACCUAGAUCUGUCUGUCCCCAAGGAACCUAUCCUCGGGGACCCUACCUAUCUACCGAGGAGCCCACCACUCCGUCUUAAGUCCUGAUGGAAGGCUGCAGUGCUCAGGAUGUGCCAAUGAGAGGCCCAUUAGAGCAGGCAAGCCCUGGCUCCAGCUGAGCCUCCCGUGCCGAGUUCUGGUUAGAAGGUGCCGGUGGCCACCGUGGAGUUCCCGAAAUGGCUGGAGGUUCAGUUUGGCGGAAGGGCAGGAAAAGAGCUUGACGAGUGGGGAGGCUGAGGACAGAGGACUGGCUGGAGAUUACAUGCUGACUGGCUUAAAUCCAGCAUUUGGGAAAGCAGGAAGUCCACCCAAACCCACCUGCAGACAGUUAGAAGAGCGUGGAAGCGAGGAGGCCUCACGCGGCCGACCUCACCCUCGGAGUGCCUCUGGGAAGGUCUCCCCCUCCAGCGUCUUAAGGCCAGCUUACACCGCCCCUCCCCUGAGGAGGCCGCUCUCAUCCUCUGCCCUGGUUGAGCAUAGGACACCUGCAACAAACCAUUUCCACGUCUGCUCCACCGCCAGCAUAGGAGUUUCUCAAGGAUAAGACCUGCGUCUCCUUUAACUCUGUGUCUAGCACCCAGCAUCCAGUAGGCACUCACUACAUGUUAGUUGAAUAAAUAAAUGAAUGACUGCAGAGGAGCAAGCUAAUCGUUCAUCAAGUUUAUGGAUGACAUGAAAUUGGGAGCGGUUUCUAGCCAGAGGUUGGAAUCGUAAAGCAGAUUGGCUUUUGCAAAUGAGAAUAUGACAAGGCUGAAUCGGAACCGGAUGACGUUCAUUAAGUAACUAGUUUGAAGAAGUCGCUGCAAGUCUGAGAGCUGGGGUGUGAUGGUUUCUGCGCAUAUUCUAAGGCAAGCUGUGGGUGGCAGACUGGAUGGAGCAAAGAAGCUGGCCAUCAAGGGCUGGUCUCCCCUUUGAGGUCAGUUUGUGGGCUUGUGACAAACAAGACCCAGGAAAGUCCUUCUGUCUCCAGAAAGGCGCUUCUAGCACUGUAUUUGGGGAGAUGCAGGGAAGCAAGAAAAAACAUUUAAAAUAGUGAAAGGAAAGACAAAUUGGAUUUCUGAAGUCGCGUUACAGAGACUGGGGUUGCUGCAUCUGGAAGGAAAAGAGAGAGAAAACCGUUUCCCAACUGUGCUUUAAUGAGCGGCAGCUCCCCAGAGUGAGACGGUGCCCCAGAGGGGAGGGACGGGCGAGGAGACUGUGGCAGUCCGCCCUGCCCCCACCGCAGCCUCGGGAGUUGCCGCCACCCCUGCUGUUUACGCUUUUAUCGUUUGCAAUGAAGGACGAUGAUGUGUGUGUGCGCUGUAUUGAUUGUGCCUCUUAGAUUUUUAUGUCACUGUGGAAAGCAGCAAUUAUGCUUGCCAGCUCUGGAGGGAGCAAACGGCCCUGGCGGGGGAGGACGGCGCAGGGCCGGGAGAGCUCACGAGGCAGCCGGAGGGGUCCAGCUCGGGGGCUGGGGGCACGAGGCAGGUAGCACAGGGGCACGGGCUGAUUGAGACUGAGAAAGGACGGGAGUCCCACUAAGGGGAUGCACCAUCCACCCUAGGCUAUAGACAUUUAUUAAGUACCUAUGGUGUGCCAGCAACUCAAGUCAUUGUCCCACACUCCUCUGAGAGCCCUCCAGUGGCUUCUCUUUUGCAUUUACAAUAAAUCCAUCCUGCUUACCAAGACUGACCCCAGCACACCCCUCCAGAAUCACCUCCAUCCUCUCCUUUCCUCAAUCCCAGCUGUCCAGCCAUCUGGCCUUCUUCCUGGUCUGCCCACUCACCGAGCUUGGCCCUGCCUCAAGGCCUUUGCCCUUGCUAUUCCCUCUGCCCGGAAUGCUAUUCCCCACACUCACCCAUGUCAUUUUCUUCCCAUUCAAGUCUCAGCUCAGGUAUCACUUCCCCACAGAGUCCCGUCAUGAGGAUCCCAGGACAUGUUCACACCAGUCCCUCUGUCACACUGCCUUCUUUUCUUUUCUUCAUGGCACUUUUCAUGCUCAGAUAUAUUCUUGUCUUUUUAUGGGUUCAGUGUCUGUCUCUCCCACCAAAAUGUAAAUGCAAAAAGACGAGGGAGCUUAUCUCUUCUUGACCACUGUGCCGCCAGCACCUAGAGGAGUUCUUGGCACAUGACAUGAGUGUAAUGAAUGUCGAUAAAUAUUGUUAGCUCCAGUUACCAGUAGAGGAAAAUGAGGCUUAGAGAGUUUAUUAAUUAGGACUGUGUUUGACUGUAAGUAACAGAAUAUCCAACAAAUACGCAGAGGUGGGUAAUUGCUGACACUGGUCCAGUUGCUCAGUGAUGUCCUCAUAGGCUGUGGAACUUCCUGUCUUCUGCCCGGUUCUUCUUAGGCCAUUACUCUUAGCUUGCCCCUCAUGGUCACAAAGUAGCUGCUGCUGCUCCUAACAUAAUUUGGCAUUCAAAGUAGGAAAGAGAGGAGAAGGCAAAAUUCUGAUCCAGCCAAGUACAUCUUCCUGUUUAUUGCACCUUUUCCGUUUCCUGAAUGCCCCUCAGUAGGAUUCUCCUUCCAGCUCAUUGGCCUGAUCUGUGUCACUUGCUGCAAGAGAUAUUGGGAAACUGAGCUUUCUGGGGUCCAUAAUAGAGGAAGGCAAAGGAGAGGUGGGUUGGACAGGAGUGUUAAGUGAGCUAGCCUCAGUGAUGGCCACAGAGAGGUGAGGAGAAUUGCUCAUGGCCACCACUACAAACAGCAGCACCGGGAUUUGAGCCCACAUCUGUCUGACCACAGAGUCCACACCCUAUUUGUCACACUCUUGUGCUUCCCUCCUGGCAUCUGGGUCAGAGAGUAAAGGCACGAGAGCAGAUUCCAGAAGUGCCAUCAGGUCUUUAGCCUAGCAC